GUGGUGGCUUUGGCAUUUUGCUGCUUGUCAACUCCUGCCUUUUGAGGUGAUCAAGAUGGAGGUUGACUAUCUCUGAAAUUUGAAAUGGGAAAUCCCAUUGUUCAUACAUACUUGAGAAAAUUCAUUGAUCUUGCUCAAGAGAGUUACUAAAAAACUCCUAAUAUGCAGUUUGAGGCUUUGAUUUACUACCUCACAGAUCUAAGUGAAUUACAGAUGGUUUUAGUUUUGGCUACUCUUUUGAUUUUUCUGUGUUUUCGCUUUUGC
Molecule: long non-coding RNA, 264 nt
Organism: Rosa chinensis
Lineage: Eukaryota; Viridiplantae; Streptophyta; Magnoliopsida; Rosales; Rosaceae
Exons: 4
Source: RefSeq, a predicted model, not a curated record